AUGAACGCUAGCGACAGGCCUAACACAUGCAAGUCGAGGGGCAGCACAAGGAGCAAUCUGAGGUGGCGACCGGCGCACGGGUGAGUAACACGUAUGCAACCUGCCUGUAAGCGGGGAAUAACCCGUUGAAAGACGGACUAAUACCGCAUAAUACUAAAUUACUGCAUGGUAAUUUAUUUUAAACAUUUAUGGCUUACAGAUGGGCAUGCGCAUGAUUAGCUAGUUGGAGAGGUAACGGCUCCCCAAGGCAACGAUCAUUAGGGGUUCUGAGAGGAAGGUCCCCCACACUGGUACUGAGACACGGACCAGACUCCUACGGGAGGCAGCAGUGAGGAAUAUUGGUCAAUGGACGAGAGUCUGAACCAGCCAAGUCGCGUGCAGGAAGAAUGUCCCUAUGGAUUGUAAACUGCUUUUGCAGGGGAAUAAAGUGCAUCACGUGUGAUGUUUUGUAUGUACUCUGCGAAUAAGGAUCGGCUAACUCCGUGCCAGCCGCCGC
RNAcentral lists this ribosomal RNA (496 nucleotides) under uncultured bacterium. Its description in RNAcentral is "bacterial SSU rRNA". It matches the Rfam family "Bacterial small subunit ribosomal RNA", at positions 29 to 518 of the family's 1533-position model. The record is from RNAcentral.